Molecule: ribosomal RNA, 254 nt
Filed under: uncultured bacterium
Lineage: Bacteria
Description: partial 16S ribosomal RNA
Rfam family: Bacterial small subunit ribosomal RNA
Source: RNAcentral
GACAGAGGGUGCAAACGUUGCUCGGAAUCACUGGGCGUAAAGGGCGUGUAGGCGGGGAGGAAAGGCAGAUGUGAAAUCCCUGGGCUCAACCCAGGAACUGCAUUUGAAACUCCCUUUCUUGAGUACCGGAGAGGAAGGUGGAAUGCCUGGUGUAGAGGUGAAAUUCGUAGAUAUCUGGAGGAACACCGGUGGCGAAGGCGACAUCCUGGACCAACACUGACGCUGAGUGAGCGAAAGCCAGGGGAGCAAACGGG